AGGGUUUGAUCAUGGCUCAGAACGUACGCUGGCGGCACGCCUAACACAUGCAAGUCGAACGAAGUAGUAAUACUUAGUGGCAGACGGGUGAGUAUCAUGUGGGUAUCUGCCCUUUGGUCUGGAAUAACACGAGGAAACUUGUGCUAAUACCGGAUAAGUCUUUACGGAGAAAGCUUUAUGCACCAUUGGAUGAGCCCGCACUUGAUUAGUUUGUUGGUGGGGUAAUGGCCUACCAAGACUUUGAUCAAUAGCUGAUUUGAGAGGAUGAUCAGCCACAUUGGGACUGAGACACGGCCCAAACUCCUACGGGAGGCAGCAGUGGGGAAUCUUGCACAAUGGAGGAAACUCUGAUGCAGCGAUGCCGCGUGAGUGAAGAAGGCCUUUGGGUUGUAAAGCUCUUUCGUCGGGGAAGAAAAUGACUGUACCCGAAUAAGAAGGUCCGGCUAACUUCGUGCCAGCAGCCGCGGUAAUACGAAGGGACCUAGCGUAGUUCGGAAUUACUGGGCUUAAAGAGUUCGUAGGUGGUUGAAAAAGUUGGUGGUGAAAUCCCAGAGCUUAACUCUGGAACUGCCAUCAAAACUUUUCAGCUAGAGUUUGAUAGAGGAAAGCAGAAUUUCUAGUGUAGAGGUGAAAUUCGUAGAUAUUAGAAAGAAUACCAAUUGCGAAGGCAGCUUUCUGGAUCAAUACUGACACUGAGGAACGAAAGCAUGGGUAGCGAAGAGGAUUAGAUACCCUCGUAGUCCAUGCUGUAAACGAUGUGUGUUAGACGUUGGAAAUUUAUUUUCAGUGUCGCAGCGAAAGCGAUAAACACACCGCCUGGGGAGUACGACCGCAAGGUUAAAACUCAAAUGAAUUGACGGGGACCCGCACAAGUAGUGGAGCAUGUGGUUUAAUUCGAAGAUACGCGCAGAACCUUACCAACACUUGACAUGUUCGUCGCGACUUUAAGAGAUUAAAGUUUUCGGUUCGGCCGGACGAAACACAGGUGCUGCAUGGCUGUCGUCAGCUCGUGUCGUGAGAUGUUGGGUUAAGUCCCGCAACGAGCGCAACCCUCACUUUUAGUUGCCAUCAUUUAGUUGGGCACUCUGAAAGAACUGCCAGUGAUAAGCUGGAGGAAGGUGGGGAUGACGUCAAGUCCUCAUGGCCCUUACGUGUUGGGCUACACACGUGCUACAAUGGUAUCUACAACAGGAAGCGAAACAGCGAUGUUAAGCAAAUCCUUAAAAGAUACCUCAGUUCGGAUUGCACUCUGCAACUCGAGUGCAUGAAGCUGGAAUUACUAGUAAUCGUGGAUCAGCGUGCCACGGUGAAUGCGUUCCCGGGUCUUGUACACACCGCCCGUCACACCAUGGGAGUUGGUUCUACCUUAAGGCAAGGCAUAAAACCCUUGACCACGGUAUAGUCAGCGACUGGGGUGAAGUCAUAACAAGGUAACCGUA
Molecule: ribosomal RNA, 1439 nt
Filed under: uncultured bacterium
Lineage: Bacteria
Description: bacterial SSU rRNA
Rfam family: Bacterial small subunit ribosomal RNA
Source: RNAcentral